CUGUAAGGAGCAAGGUAGCCCGCAGAGACCGCUCCUUCCCCCGGAUCAGUCCCGUCAGUGGAGCGCGAGGCGCACACACACACACACACACACACACACACUCACGCACACUCACUCACACACGCGCAGCUCACGCACGCGCUGGUCGACACGCGUGAAAGGUGCGACGCAGAGUGGACUCACCGGAGGACUCUGGUAGUGUGCGCUGGACUUAAACGGAGCAUGAAUCUGUCAUCAAGACAUCGAUCCUCGCCUCUAGACAAACCAAGUGAACCUUUCAGGGGGAAAUCACACGCGGGCACAUUUUAAUGCCACAUCCUCCGCGCACGGAGGGCGAUGCACUCGCCUCUUGUUCUUCAGGCUGCCACCGUUUCUACAUGACUGCAUGAACUCAGCGCUGGAUAAAUAUAUAUAUAUAUAUAUAUAUAUAUAUUUUCUGCAGAGACAUUUGUUGUUGUUUUUUGUUGUUGUUGUUGUUUUCUCCUCUCGGUAGUUUUUUUGUUUUGUUAUUUUUGACGGGUUGGAGAUUCCGCGCAACAGAGAGCGGCGGCAGCGCGCGUGUUUGAGCGCAACCUCCCAGUGACUCGGUCGGAGUUUGACUCCCCAUCAUGGGCCACGGUGCGCACACCGCCGGAGAGGGACGAGGAGCGCCCGAGAUGCGGACUGCGUCUUGGCUUUUGGUUAUCCUCCUGAUGGACGUCGGCCUGGCUCAAGAUGCACAGACACGUUGGAGUUGCGGGGAUGCCUCGGUGUGAUGUAUGGGCUUCAUUUCCCCCCCACGGGCCGUCUCCAGCUCGGCACAAG
Long non-coding RNA from Gasterosteus aculeatus aculeatus (three-spined stickleback), 804 nucleotides. The record is from Ensembl. Lineage: Eukaryota; Metazoa; Chordata; Actinopteri; Perciformes; Gasterosteidae.